Gymnothorax javanicus (giant moray) is the source of this 73-nucleotide non-coding RNA. Lineage: Eukaryota; Metazoa; Chordata; Actinopteri; Anguilliformes; Muraenidae. The record is from the annotation of a GenBank genome assembly.
GCCAUGAUGGUGCGGUGGUUAGCACUAUUGCCUCAUGGGAAGAAGGUCGUGGGUUUGAAUCUAGCCUGGGGCC